Molecule: long non-coding RNA, 249 nt
Filed under: Phoenix dactylifera (date palm)
Lineage: Eukaryota; Viridiplantae; Streptophyta; Magnoliopsida; Arecales; Arecaceae
Description: long non-coding RNA (PDAC_LNC010779)
Source: RNAcentral
GUUAUCGGGUCCAAGAAAGGCAUACUUGAGUUCCCUUGGUAAGGGUUUCAGCUCAAGUAUGGGUGCUUGUUUCCGAGAUUGUACAAAUUUUGUCCCUUGUGAGGGCAACUGCUCGAAUUCCUCUAUUCUCGGUCUCCACCUAUUGACCAUCAUGACAUCCGAAUUAUCUAAAAUAGGUGGAACCACAUCAUCAGCAGUACCUUCGGAACACCAAUCUAUUAAACCAUUGUCGGCCGAUUCAGUAAAUGU